AUGCAUCUCGGAUAUCUUGUCCUCAUGGCCUUCCUGGGGCAACCGCUAGGCACCAUGGGGCAGACGACUGUUACCCAGCAAGAAGGACAAGUCACAGUGAAGCAGAGAGACACCUUCCAAACAACCUGCACCUACCAGACCUCGUACUUUCGAGGCUUGCUCUGGUACCAGCAUAGGAAAGGCCAAGCUCCCCAGCUGAUCUCAUAUCAGGCAACAGCCACCUCUAAGCGGAGUGGCCGUUUCACCACGUUGCUGAACACUGAGGAGAAAUACAGCCUCCUGCAGCUGGAGGAAGUCGAGGUCUCUGACAGCGCCUUGUACCUCUGUGCUGUGCAAGACACGCUGGUGCAGAGAGCUUGCUUGGCUGUGCAGUAA
This is a non-coding RNA of Opisthocomus hoazin, 375 nucleotides long. NCBI's taxonomy places the organism in Eukaryota, Metazoa, Chordata, Aves, Opisthocomiformes, Opisthocomidae. The record is from the annotation of a RefSeq genome assembly.